Molecule: ribosomal RNA, 643 nt
Filed under: uncultured Actinomycetes bacterium
Lineage: Bacteria; Bacillati; Actinomycetota; Actinomycetes
Description: bacterial SSU rRNA
Rfam family: Bacterial small subunit ribosomal RNA
Source: RNAcentral
CGCGGCCUAUCAGCUUGUUGGUGGGGUAAUGGCCUACCAAGGCGACGACGGGUAGCCGGCCUGAGAGGGCGACCGGCCACACUGGGACUGAGACACGGCCCAGACUCCUACGGGAGGCAGCAGUGGGGAAUAUUGCACAAUGGGCGAAAGCCUGAUGCGGCGACGCCGCGUGAGGGAUGACGGCCUUCGGGUUGUAAACCUCUUUCAGCAGGGAAGAAGCGAAAGUGACGGUACCUGCAGAAGAAGCGCCGGCUAACUACGUGCCAGCAGCCGCGGUAAUACGUAGGGCGCAAGCGUUGUCCGGAAUUAUUGGGCGUAAAGAGCUCGUAGGCGGCUUGUCACGUCGGGUGUGAAAGCCCGGGGCUUAACCCCGGGUCUGCAUCCGAUACGGGCAGGCUAGAGUGUGGUAGGGGAGAUCGGAAUUCCUGGUGUAGCGGUGAAAUGCGCAGAUAUCAGGAGGAACACCGGUGGCGAAGGCGGAUCUCUGGGCCAUUACUGACGCUGAGGAGCGAAAGCGUGGGGAGCGAACAGGAUUAGAUACCCUGGUAGUCCACGCCGUAAACGUUGGGAACUAGGUGUUGGCGACAUUCCACGUCGUCGGUGCCGCAGCUAACGCAUUAAGUUCCCCGCCUGGGGAGUACGG